RNAcentral lists this ribosomal RNA (496 nucleotides) under uncultured bacterium. RNAcentral's name for it is "partial 16S ribosomal RNA". It matches the Rfam family "Bacterial small subunit ribosomal RNA", at positions 29 to 507 of the family's 1533-position model. The record is from RNAcentral.
AUGAACGCUGGCGGCGUGCCUAAUACAUGCAAGUCGAGCGAACGGACGAGAAGCUUGCUUCUCUGAUGUUAGCGGCGGACGGGUGAGUAACACGUGGAUAACCUACCUAUAAGACUGGGAUAACUUCGGGAAACCGGAGCUAAUACCGGAUAAUAUUUUGACCCGCAUGGUUCAAAAGUGAAAGACGGUCUUGCUGUCACUUAUAGAUGGAUCCGCGCUGCAUUAGCUAGUUGGUAAGGUAACGGCUUACCAAGGCAACGAUGCAUAGCCGACCUGAGAGGGGGAUCGGCCACACUGGAACUGAGACACGGUCCAGACUCCUACGGGAGGCAGCAGUAGGGAAUCUUCCGCAAUGGGCGAAAGCCUGACGGAGCAACGCCGCGUGAGUGAUGAAGGUCUUCGGAUCGUAAAACUCUGUUAUUAGGGAAGAACAUAUGUGUAAGUAACUGUGCACAUCUUGACGGUACCUAAUCAGAAAGCCACGGCUAACUACGUG